CUAAAAUGAGAAAUUAACAGAGCAUCCUUUCUCAAGGAUUAAAAACAUCCAGAAGAUUAAAAAUAGCCUGAGGCUUAAAAACUUCCUCACCUGCUUGACUGAUGCUUUUCCUGAGAUGAGUGGCUCUUAAUUGAACACAGGAAUUAAGAUGUGGGCAUAAUGAUGCUGUGAUAACCCUCCUGAUUUUUAUGUCAGCCAAGGUUACUACCAAGCUGUAGGAGCUCACUGAAUAAACCACUGAACACUGGGAAUUCUCCCA
RNAcentral lists this long non-coding RNA (259 nucleotides) under Parus major (Great Tit). RNAcentral describes it as "lncRNA (ENSPMJG00000011861.1)". The record is from RNAcentral. Lineage: Eukaryota; Metazoa; Chordata; Aves; Passeriformes; Paridae.